This 357-nucleotide ribosomal RNA is filed under the name Triticum aestivum (bread wheat). RNAcentral's name for it is "partial small subunit ribosomal RNA". Lineage: Eukaryota; Viridiplantae; Streptophyta; Magnoliopsida; Poales; Poaceae. The record is from RNAcentral.
CAAGAGCUUCUCGACAAAGGUUAUAUACGCGAAUCCCUUAGUCCUUGUGCUGUUCCUAUUAUUCUAGUGCCGAAAAAGGAUGGUACAUCACGUAUGUGUGUUGAUUGUAGAGGCAUUAAUAAUAUUACUAUACGUUAUCGUCAUCCUAUUCCUAGGCUAGAUGAUAUGCUUGAUGAAUUGAGUGGCUCUACAAUAUUCUCCAAAGUUGAUUUGCGUAGUGGCUACCAUCAAAUUCGUAUGAAAUUGGGAGCUGAAUGGAAAACAGCAUUUAAAACUAAGUUUGGAUUAUAUGAGUGGUUAGUCAUGCCUUUUGGGUUAAGUAAUGCACCUAGUACUUUCAUGAGAUUAAUGAACGAA